RNAcentral lists this ribosomal RNA (706 nucleotides) under Vogesella sp. AR26. Its description in RNAcentral is "bacterial SSU rRNA". It matches the Rfam family "Bacterial small subunit ribosomal RNA", at positions 56 to 757 of the family's 1533-position model. Lineage: Bacteria; Pseudomonadati; Pseudomonadota; Betaproteobacteria; Neisseriales; Chromobacteriaceae. The record is from RNAcentral.
UGCAAGUCGAACGGUAACAGGGAGCUUGCUCCGCUGACGAGUGGCGAACGGGUGAGUAAUGCGUCGGAACGUGCCGAGUAGUGGGGGAUAACGCAUCGAAAGGUGUGCUAAUACCGCAUACGUACUGAGGUAGAAAGUGGGGGACCUUCGGGCCUCACGCUAUUCGAGCGGCCGACGUCUGAUUAGCUAGUUGGUGAGGUAAAGGCUCACCAAGGCGACGAUCAGUAGCGGGUCUGAGAGGAUGAUCCGCCACACUGGGACUGAGACACGGCCCAGACUCCUACGGGAGGCAGCAGUGGGGAAUUUUGGACAAUGGGCGCAAGCCUGAUCCAGCCAUGCCGCGUGUCUGAAGAAGGCCUUCGGGUUGUAAAGGACUUUUGUCCGGGAGCAAAUGCCUGGUGUUAAUAGCACUGGGAGCUGAGAGUACCGGAAGAAUAAGCACCGGCUAACUACGUGCCAGCAGCCGCGGUAAUACGUAGGGUGCAAGCGUUAAUCGGAAUUACUGGGCGUAAAGCGUGCGCAGGCGGUUUUGUAAGCCAGAUGUGAAAGCCCCGGGCUCAACCUGGGAACUGCGUUUGGAACUACAAGACUAGAGUGUGUCAGAGGGGGGUGGAAUUCCGCGUGUAGCAGUGAAAUGCGUAGAGAUGCGGAGGAACACCGAUGGCGAAGGCAGCCCCCUGGGAUAACACUGACGCUCAUGCACGAA